Cyprinus carpio (common carp) is the source of this 1063-nucleotide long non-coding RNA. RefSeq lists it as uncharacterized. The record is from RefSeq and is a predicted model, not a curated record. The transcript has 3 exons. NCBI's taxonomy places the organism in Eukaryota, Metazoa, Chordata, Actinopteri, Cypriniformes, Cyprinidae.
UGAUGUUUGAUUUUGUAGGUGUGAAUAUAACCUCAUGAUCGUCCAGAUCUCCAGACAGAAACUCAGAUCCUCCUCAAAGAUCCAGUCAAGCGUCACAAUAUAAAUGCUGCUUGAUUCUGCAAACACAACAAUGCAGACUCAUUGUCUAAUUGUGAAUGAACAUGAUAAAUAAAGUCAAAUAAACAUCUACUUCAGCCAUAUAUAAUGUAAAAGAUAUGUUGUCCCGUAUUUUAUGUUUUUGAGUUUGCCAUUGAGUUCAACAACAAAACAUAUUAUCUGACUUACCACAUCGGUUGAGUAUUGAUACGGAACAUUUCACUAUACUACUAGGUUCAAGUUAUUUGUAGAUUUGUUAUAAAAUAUUUUCAAUUCAAAUCUUUGUCCUCUGACAAAAACUUAAGUGUAGUUUUCCACCCGCUCCACCGGGCGGCGGAAUCAGGCUUUAGGUUCAGUUUUUGACGCAUUCAAAUGCUGCUUUACAACAUGAUGCUUGAUAACAGUCACAACAACACAAUAAGGGAUGUUUGAACUGUUACACUCAGCCAACAGAAGCAUGUGGACAGACAUUGACUGUAAUGAAGGACGUCUGCUGAUGCACAGGCAGAAGUAUAACCCCUGCUGGACAUUGUGCUGGAGCUCGGGGAGGACACCAUGAUCCCCCACACCUUCUCACUCACACCAGACCAUUCACUCAUAUCACAGAGAUCUGGCUGGACUUGAACCAGCAACCUCUGAAACCAUGAGGCAGCGCUUUUACCUCUGAGCCACAGUUCUCUUGUCUGAACAUGUGCAGGAACUUAUAUUUUACUAUUCUCCCUGUCAUUUUACAAUAAACCCAAAACAUUUUGAACUGGGAUUUGAACCCAUAACACCACCACAGUCCUGAUUGUGAGUAACAUGUUUAGCCAUUAGUGCUACACUGGCUUUCACAUUGAGAGCUGGCAUUUGGGCCAUUUUGUUGUAUAUAAUGCAAUACAUGAGCUUUAACGUAAGCAAUAGUGGGGCUCAAACUCAGAACUCCACGAGCCCAACACAACACUCUGCAUCCUGAGCCACUGACCCA